This 301-nucleotide ribosomal RNA is filed under the name uncultured bacterium. RNAcentral describes it as "partial 16S ribosomal RNA". It matches the Rfam family "Bacterial small subunit ribosomal RNA", at positions 509 to 807 of the family's 1533-position model. The record is from RNAcentral.
CAGCCGCCACGGGAAUACGUAGGGUGCAAGCGUUAAUCGGAAUUACUGGGCGUAAAGCGUGCGCAGGCGGUUUGUUAAGACAGAUGUGAAAUCCCCGGGCUCAACCUGGGAACUGCAUUUGAAACUGGCAAGCUAGAGUCUUGUAGAGGGGGGUAGAAUUCCAGGUGUAGCGGUGAAAUGCGUAGAGAUCUGGAGGAAUACCGGUGGCGAAGGCGGCCCCCUGGACGAAGACUGACGCUCAGGUACGAAAACGUGGGGAGCAAACAGGAUUAGAUACCCGUGUAGUCCCUGUCUCUUAUAC